This is a long non-coding RNA of Populus trichocarpa (black cottonwood), 1870 nucleotides long. RefSeq lists it as uncharacterized. The record is from RefSeq and is a predicted model, not a curated record. NCBI's taxonomy places the organism in Eukaryota, Viridiplantae, Streptophyta, Magnoliopsida, Malpighiales, Salicaceae. The transcript is spliced from 2 exons.
GAUCUAACUGGGACAGUCUUAACUGGGACAGUCGUGAUCCAGAAAAACGAGCAAAGCCCACCCAAAGCUAGCUUUGAUUGGUUGAGAAAGCAAUUCAAAGCUCCUCCGUCGUCACCCAAAAAGACUCCUCUUUCCAGUUCCUUCCACUUCCAGUGCAGUAGCGAUGCCGUUCUGGGUGGAUGACUAUGAGGAAGUAUCUGUAAAAUUUCAAAGAAUUCGAACCAAAAUGGGUGAGUUAGUUAAGGCGCACGCGAGAGCGUUGAUGCCAAUCGAAUGAUUGAAGUUCUUACUCGAGAGAUUACGGAUUUAUUGAGAAAUUCCGUGACAAGUUAAAGAAAAAUUAUGCAUGGGAGUCUAUUUAGGAAUAUAUUGACUUUAUAUGAUUUUAUAUGUUUAUAAUUUUAAAUAUGUAUAAACUUUAGAUUUUUGUUGGAUCAGCAUGUUUUUGUAAUGAUAAAUUAAAUAUAUUUACUCAUUAGUUUAAUAUAUAUAUUUAUAAACUUUGAUUUUAGAUUUAUAUAUAUAUUGUACUUUGACUAGUUUAUCUUGUGAGAAAGAAAAUUAAUAAUGAAAAUAAUAAUAUAAAUUAAUUGUAAAAUAAGAUUUUAGCAUUUUUAAGAUUCAAGAUAGUUUAAAGAUAUAUUUUAUCUUUUAAAAUUAUUUUUAUAUAAUUUGGAUAAUUUGAUGAAUAUAUCUUACUAUAUUGAUCAUAUAUCUUACUAUAUUCAUCUAUUUUUCAAUUAAGGAAUCAUUUAAUUAUUUUUCAUAAUAGUUUAUGCUAUAUUACCGAUACAAUUAUGCUUUUUGUUUAUUUUACUUAUACUUUCUAAGUUUUGUUAUGUAUACAUUACUGUUUAUAUGUAUAAAAAGUUUGUAAGAAGAAUAUAUACUUUAUUCCACACUCCAGCCAGCUAAAUAAAUAAAGAUUAUAGCAACCAUAUAGUAGAUGACCAGUAAUAAAAAUUUAGGACUAAGAGAUUUGUUUUCUAUGUGGUUUUAAGUUUGAGCCAUGUGGUUGCUAAUAUAAUGACCACUGGAGAUUUACAUAAUCGUUAAUUUCAGAGCCCGUAAAAUUAGUCGAUGUACGCACAAGCUGGCUCGAACAAUCAUGUAAAUAUAAAAAAACAAAAAAAAAGAAAUACUAUAGCGGAAACUUGUAGCGUGAAGCUCCCAAUACCUGAUUUUGAUGUGAUGAACUCAGCCUCUAGAUUGGAUCGGAUGGGAGAAUAUAUAGUUUUUUACCUUCAAUGAUGCUCUGCUUCCAAGCCUCCUCUUUCACAUCCAACGAGAAGGAAUAAUAAUCUAAGAAUAUAUAGUUUUUUACCUUCAAUGAUGCUCUGCUUCCAAGCCUUCUCUUUCACAUCCAACGAGAAGGUAUAAUGGUCUAAGAAUAUAGAGUCAGGACUCAAUUUACUAUCCAUUUCCAUCCUAUUGUGAUGUGAUCGCUACUGAAUCUGUUGUUCCUAUCAUGAUAUUGCCUCUGUCUUCCAGCCAUCUAAGACAUGGAUAAUAGGGUACGUAGUGGGAUGAAAGAAGUCUUGUACUCUCUGUUGAUUAUGGCAAAUAAGAAGGGAGGGAUUUUUCAAGAAGGAUAGCGCUCAUCAAGCUAGAACGCCUACGGAUUUCAAUACACAAGGAGUCAACUUUGUGUUCAGUGACUUCCUUCUCUCUUCCCCCUCCACCAUUGUUGAAUAGUUGUUUUUUAUGCUUGAUUAAAUGGGAUCAUCUGGUUCUUUCUAGUAUGCAUGCUUUAUCCUGUGAAAGCUCUAACUUCUGGAGCUUUAAUGAUGUUUUACACAAAUUAGGUCAGUGUUUGGUGACGGCAUUGAAAAUUUGAAAUAGCAACAAAGCUUAAAGGCUCAGCGCCACA